AACAAAACAAAAUAAAUUCUAUAAAUAGGAUGGAUGGAUGGAAAUUGGACCAAUCAUUCAAUCGAUCGAUUCAAUAGACAAAUAUUUCGGUCAAUGGAUGACCAGAUGACCAGAUGAUUGUGUGUGUCACACACAAAGAUGAAUUUAUCGAUUGAAGACAAAAAAAAAUUGAUAAAGAUCAAAAUAAUCAUCACAUAUCUACCUGAAUCAAUCACAAUUACGUUUUUAAUCAAAAAAAAAAUCACACCAUUUUGUGGUCAUUAAUGAUGAUGACAUUUUCUGGUUUUUCAUUACGUCGUAUUAUUAUUAUAUAUAUUUAUGGUCGGUCGGUUGAUUUGGUAACACAAUCAUUUGGCAAUUAAAUUCAAAAUUUCAAAACAAAAAAAUUUUUAUUAUCAUCCUGUUAUGACAUUCAAUAAAACCGAAAACAAAAAAAAAAAAAUCAAAUGAUGGCUAUGGAUAAUCAUCAUCAUCAUCAUCAUCAUCAAUGGAUCAUUGGAUCACAUAGAUACGCUCAUUGUUAUAAAUGUGUUUUGGCGGUUUUUUUUUGUUACAUAUCGCUCAAUUCUCAAUCAUUUCAUCUGUGUGUAAUAUAUAAUUUCAAAUGGGGCGUUUGUGAUUUAUCAAAAAAAAUUUUUUUUUCUAAAGU
This is a non-coding RNA of Dermatophagoides farinae (American house dust mite), 649 nucleotides long. The record is from RefSeq and is a predicted model, not a curated record. Lineage: Eukaryota; Metazoa; Arthropoda; Arachnida; Sarcoptiformes; Pyroglyphidae.